Molecule: RNA transcript, 1706 nt
Organism: Aegilops tauschii subsp. strangulata
Lineage: Eukaryota; Viridiplantae; Streptophyta; Magnoliopsida; Poales; Poaceae
Source: RefSeq, a predicted model, not a curated record
CUGAAAAGGAUGAAAGAGAACGAAAAAAAUCUCCUCCCCUUACCGUGGUUCCUUCUAGAGGCCCCUCGCCGCCGUCGAAACCCAAAAGGGGAUAGAGUUCGCCGAGGCCGCUUUAGCCGGUGGCGGCGCCAUCGCGGGUGCUCCACCGUGAAGCUAGUGACGGAUGGACGCUGAGGGAAUGGAGUUCCUACUGGAUGCGGUCGACAGGUUCCCCGUGCGGGAGGAGUUUGCUGACAGUCUUCACAACCCAGAUCCAGUCCCACUCGCGUACCUUCUGGAGAAGGGGGGUUGCAAAUCCGUAGAUUGGUUGGGAAGAAGAUCAUUCUGGGAUGGCUGAAAUGGUGUGCGAAGGUGUGCUUACUGACGCUCAAGGUGGUGCCCAGCAUCGGCGUGAUGAAUCUCUGACGAGGUCUGGCCAAUCGACGGGCAGGGUUAAUCCAGAGGCCUCAGGCUGGACUAAAAGGCUUCAUCUUGGAAGUGCGCCACCUGACCAUGUGCCAUGUCCAUUAAGAAUGAGUGCUCUCGAGCUGUCGAUCAGGAAAUAUGCUGAGCAACCUGACAAGAGCGUGGUGCGACCUGAGUUAGGGCUUAGUUUCGAUUCGCUGGGAGAAGCGUAUGAUUUCUACAACUUAUAUUCAUGGGAAGUCGGUUUUGGGAUAAGAUAUGGGAAAAGCAGGCUGAACGCCAAGAGAACAAAAAGCAUGCAGGAGAUAGUAUGUGGUUGCUCGGUGAGUGUCCGUUCGCUUGCAUAUAAAUUAAGAAGUACGAGUGUACUGAUUGGUGGUGCAGGCUGAACGCCAAGAGAACAAAAAGCAUGCAGGAGAUAAUAUGUGGUUGCUCGGGGAAACCGGAUGCCGAAAACAGUAGGUCUUGCAUGUGUGAAUGUCCAGCUCCGAUCAGGCUCCUACGUGCAUCAGACAACAGUUGGUACAUCAUAGAGCACCGAGCAAGCCACAAUCAUUCCAUGUCGCUAACAAUGGGUGAGAAAGUUCACUGGCCGUCUCAUAAACACAUAGACGUGUACACCAAAGAUUUGAUAAGACAGCUGAGGGAGAACAACGUGAAUCUGGGCAAGGUAUACAGCAUAUUGGAAGCUUUUUUGGUUCAGUUGAGAAGGUGUCGUUCACGAAAAGGACACUAAGGAACAUUUGUGGGAAGAUUAGUCGUGAACAAGCUGAGGACGAUGUACGAAAGACACUCCAGGUGUUUGCUGACAUCUGAUCAAGCGACCCUGGUUUCUCUUUUGUAGUUCUUGCCAAAAAAGACAGCAAGGUGAAGAAUCUAAUGUGGGCUAAUGGAAACAGCUGUAUGCAGUACAAGUUCUUUGGCGAUGUGGUGACAUUCGACACCACAUACAGGACAAACUUGUAUGACAUGCCGUUUGGUUUGUUUGUUGGAGUUAACAAUCACUACCAGAGUAUCAUCCUGGCAAACGUGUUGAUGCGUGGCGAGCAGGAAGAGAGCUUCGAAUGGGUGUUCUCAGAAUUCCUUCGCAUGAUGGGCGGGCCUCCUCCAAAAACAAUACUGACAGACCAAUGUAGGGCCACAUGGAGGUUGCAAUCAAGAAAAUCUAUCCAGAGACUGUGCACCAUUGGUGCAAGUGGCAUGUUCUGAAGAAAGCGAAAGAAACACUAGGGCCAUUGUACACAAAAAAAAUAUAUCGAGCCAUCUAUUCUAUAUCUGUCCCCGGACGACGUUAGCUCAGA